RNAcentral lists this ribosomal RNA (253 nucleotides) under uncultured bacterium. RNAcentral describes it as "partial 16S ribosomal RNA". It matches the Rfam family "Bacterial small subunit ribosomal RNA", at positions 524 to 776 of the family's 1533-position model. The record is from RNAcentral.
UACGGGGGGGGCAAGCGUUGUUCGGAAUUACUGGGCGUAAAGGGCUCGUAGGCGGCCAACUAAGUCAGACGUGAAAUCCCUCGGCUUAACCGGGGAACUGCGUCUGAUACUGGAUGGCUAGAGGUUGGGAGAGGGAUGCGGAAUUCCAGGUGUAGCGGUGAAAUACGUAGAUAUCAGGAAGAACACCAAUGGCGAAGGCAGCUCUCUGGGACGGUACUGACGCUGAGACGCGAAAGCGUGGGGAGCGAACAGG